RNAcentral lists this ribosomal RNA (459 nucleotides) under uncultured bacterium. RNAcentral's name for it is "partial 16S ribosomal RNA". It matches the Rfam family "Bacterial small subunit ribosomal RNA", at positions 338 to 795 of the family's 1533-position model. The record is from RNAcentral.
CCUACGGGAGGCAGCAGUGAGGAAUAUUGGUCAAUGGACGAGAGUCUGAACCAGCCAAGUAGCGUGAAGGAUGACUGCCCUAUGGGUUGUAAACUUCUUCUAUAUGGGAAUAAAAUGUUCCACGUGUGGGAUUUGUAUGUACCAUAUGAAUAAGGAUCGGCUAACUCCGUGCCAGCAGCCGCGGUAAUACGGAGGGUGCGAGCGUUAUCCGGAUUUAUUGGGUGUAAAGGGAGCGUAGGUGGAUUGUUAAGUCAGUUGUGAAAGUUUGCGGCUCAACCGGAAAAUUGCAGUUGAAACUGGCAGUCUUGAGUACAGUAGAGGUGGGCGGAAUUCGUGGUGUAGCGGUGAAAUGCUUAGAUAUCACGAGGAACUCCGAUGGCGAAGGCAGUUCACUGGACUGCAACUGACGCUGAGGCUCGAAAGUGUGGGUAUCAAACAGGAUUAGAUACCCUGGUAGUC